RNAcentral lists this transfer RNA (70 nucleotides) under Hyphessobrycon roseus. Its description in RNAcentral is "tRNA-Trp". It matches the Rfam family "tRNA". From Rfam's summary of the family: Transfer RNA (tRNA) molecules are approximately 80 nucleotides in length. Their secondary structure includes four short double-helical elements and three loops (D, anti-codon, and T loops). Lineage: Eukaryota; Metazoa; Chordata; Actinopteri; Characiformes; Acestrorhamphidae. The record is from RNAcentral.
AGAGACUUAGGUUAACAUAAACCAUGAGCCUUCAAAGCUCACAACGGGGGUUAAAAACCCCCAGACUCUG